Melospiza melodia melodia is the source of this 567-nucleotide non-coding RNA. The record is from the annotation of a RefSeq genome assembly. Lineage: Eukaryota; Metazoa; Chordata; Aves; Passeriformes; Passerellidae.
AUGACCCUGCUGGAGUGCGGGGGGGACCUCCAGCCCCCCGGGGGGUCCCUGCGCCUCCUCUGCCGAGGGUCCGGGUUCAAUUUCGGGAGCAAUGGAAUGUUCUGGAUGCGCCAGAGACCCGGGCAGGGGCUGCAGUGGCUCGCGGGGAUCAACAAGGAUGGUUCCGGCACCUACUACGCGCCAUCGGUCAAGGGCCGGUUCACGAUCUCCAGGGACAACGGGCAGAGCUCGGUGACGCUGACCAUGAACAACGUCAGGAAGGAAGAUUCGGGAUCCUAUUUCUGUGCCAAAUCUGCUGAUAAUUAUUGGGGCAAUAAUGCUCAUGGUUUUGACCCCAUUCCCAUGGCCGUGUCCCCACCUGUCCCCGUUAUCCAGAUCCUUCCCCAAUCCAAGCCCCUGACCCCAUUCCUGUCCCCCUGUCCCAUCUCUGAGCUGGCUCUGCCCCAGUUCUCAGCUCCGGGCCCCAAUCUCAGCUCUGGGCUCCAACUCUCAACCAAGGUCCCCAAACCUGGGUGCAAAUGGUCGAGAUUUGGGGAAAAUGGGCCGGAUUUGGGUCUGUGGCUUUGA